Molecule: ribosomal RNA, 508 nt
Filed under: uncultured bacterium
Lineage: Bacteria
Description: bacterial SSU rRNA
Rfam family: Bacterial small subunit ribosomal RNA
Source: RNAcentral
GACGAACGCUGGCGGCGUGGAUUAGGCAUGCAAGUCGAACGGUAUCAUCCUUUCGGGGGUGAGAGAGUGGCGAACUGGUGAGUAACACGUAGGUUAUCUACCCUCAAGACGGGGACAACCCAGGGAAACUUGGGCUAAUACCGGAUGUGAGCAACUUUUAGUUGUUUGAAAGGUGGCGUAAGCUGUCGCUUGGGGAUGAGCCUGCGUCCUAUUAGUUAGUUGGUGAGGUAACGGCUCACCUAGGCAAUGAUAGGUAGGCGGCCUUAACGGGUGGUCGCCCACACUGGGAUUGAGAUACGGCCCAGACUUCUACGGGAGGCAGCAGUCGAGAAUAGUCUACAAUGGUCGGAAGACUGAUAGUGCGACGCCGCGUGAACGAUGAAUCCCUUCGGGGUGUAAAGUUCUUUUAUAUGUGAGCAGUGCUUCUUAUAUUAACAGUAUGGGGAGAGAGAUAUUAGCAUAUGAAUAAGCAACGGCUAACUCCGUGCCAGCAGCCGCGGUAAACUCG